AGCGGAGGAAAAGAAAAUAACAAUGAUUCCCUCAGUAACGGCGAGCGAAGAGGGAUAAGCUCAAAUUUUAAAUCUGUUGGGUUCCACUUAACAGAGUUGUAUUUUGAAGAAACGUUUUCUGCGUCCAGGAUUAGCCUAAAUCCUUUGGGAUAAGGUAUCAUGGAGGGUGAGAAUCCCGUUCAUGGUUAAUCUUAAGGAAGCUCUACGAUACGUUUUCCAAGAGUCGAGUUGUUUGGGAUUGCAGCUCAAAAUGGGAGGUAAAUUUCUCCUAAGGCUAAAUAUUGGCGAGAGACCGAUAGCGAACAAGUACCGUGAGGGAAAGAUGAAAAGAACUUUGAAAAGAGAGUUAAACAGUACGUGAAAUUGUUGAAAGGGAAACGAUUGAAGUCAGUCAUACCAACGGGAAAUCAACCUUUUGAGCUYGGUCUCGUGGGUUUUGAAGAGUUUCAAAGCCUUCGGAUUCGCGGGAUUGGGAUCUCUUGGUGUACUUUUUCGUACGGUUAGUCAACAUCGGUUUUGAAUGUCAUAAAAUGACUGGAGGAAUGUAGCUUCGAUCUCGUAUUGAAGUGUUAUAGCCUUUGGUAGAUGUGAUGUUUGAGACCGAGGAUUGCAACGGAUACCCUUCAGGGCUAUUCGUCUGAUCUCUGAUACGUUGCCUUGAUGUUGAAAGCUUGCUUAUGAUGUUAGGGUAUUACGGUCAAAAGGUUAGAACGAAUUACAUUCGUUAAGGAUGUUGACGUAAUGACUUUAAACGACCCGUCUUG
This 764-nucleotide ribosomal RNA is filed under the name uncultured Glomeromycotina. RNAcentral describes it as "eukaryotic LSU rRNA". It matches the Rfam family "Eukaryotic large subunit ribosomal RNA", at positions 49 to 656 of the family's 3401-position model. Lineage: Eukaryota; Fungi; Glomeromycota. The record is from RNAcentral.